RNAcentral lists this small RNA (29 nucleotides) under Bombyx mori (domestic silkworm). Its description in RNAcentral is "ovarian small RNA-13544". Lineage: Eukaryota; Metazoa; Arthropoda; Insecta; Lepidoptera; Bombycidae. The record is from RNAcentral.
CCAGAACCAGCGUGAGUCGAGGAUAGCCU